Molecule: transfer RNA, 72 nt
Filed under: Bos taurus (domestic cattle)
Lineage: Eukaryota; Metazoa; Chordata; Mammalia; Artiodactyla; Bovidae
Also listed under: 5 other names
Rfam family: tRNA
About the family: Transfer RNA (tRNA) molecules are approximately 80 nucleotides in length. Their secondary structure includes four short double-helical elements and three loops (D, anti-codon, and T loops). Further hydrogen bonds mediate the characteristic L-shaped molecular structure. tRNAs have two regions of fundamental functional importance: the anti-codon, which is responsible for specific mRNA codon recognition, and the 3' end, to which the tRNAs corresponding amino acid is attached (by aminoacyl-tRNA synthetases). tRNAs cope with the degeneracy of the genetic code in two manners: having more than one tRNA (with a specific anti-codon) for a particular amino acid; and 'wobble' base-pairing, i.e. permitting non-standard base-pairing at the 3rd anti-codon position.
Source: Rfam by way of RNAcentral
UCCCUGGUAGCUCAGUUGGUAAAGAAUCUGCCUGAAAUGCAGGAGACCUGGGUUUGAUUCCUGGGUUGGGAA